This is a long non-coding RNA of Cercocebus atys (sooty mangabey), 462 nucleotides long. RefSeq lists it as uncharacterized. The transcript has 3 exons. The record is from RefSeq and is a predicted model, not a curated record. Lineage: Eukaryota; Metazoa; Chordata; Mammalia; Primates; Cercopithecidae.
ACCUUCCUAUUAUAAGAAAAAGUCAGAAGGGCCAUGGUUCAAAUAAAAUAUUAAUAAAUGAUAAGCUUAAGGAGCCUAGAGCUUGAGCUAUAUUGGUAGAUAAUGCCCCACCUCCACCCCAGCUUUCUAUUCCAGUUAAUCAUGUGACUGACAAGUAACAGAACUAAAACUGUUUGACUCCUAGGUGACAGCAAGAAGUUCUUGGAACUUGGUUUAAUGAUUAUCUUGACUUUUAAAGUUUGUUUUCUCUAUUAUGCUUAUGUGAUCUUAUCGCUUAUAUGUGACUAUAUUACAAGAUUAUUCAAUUUUAAACAUGAUAGCUGAAGGAGAAGGCUUCUGGAAGCAACAAUAUAUUAUAAGAGGUUCUUCUCCUUGGUCUCCACAACUUGCUGUCAUAGAAAUGAUGAACUUCAUGAAGCCACCACUUUCCUAGAAUUAGAAGAAACUACCAUAAAAUUCAUA